UGCAUUCGUUUGAUUGCAUUAUGCAUUUUUCAUUGUGGUGUGUGCCUCGCUCGGUUGUAAUCGCACAUACACACAAGUGUAUUACGACAAUUCGACGAUUCUGUGCGUUAAAUACACACGUACAGACGUGAGAAUCGUGACACGAGAAGCGCACCUUUUAUAUUCGCACCCCUCGAUGCAAAAACGACCCUUGUUCCGGAGUUCAUAGUCCCCCGAUUAAAUAAAUUCUUGUUCAUACACCGUUUCGUCGUUACGUUAGUUGAAUCCAAACACGCAUGCACAGACGAUUGCAAAACACAUCCACGAAGCUGGAUCGUUCUGCAAUCCGAUGAGAGACAACAGAGCUCUCACCUACCGCUGAUAUAACGGUGAAAAGAAAAAGAGAGGGAGAAAGCACGGGGAUCGGUCAAUCUUCUUCCUUGAAGAUGAAUGAAUCAGCGUUAUAAACAACAACGGAGAUCGGUUAACCACAUGGAUGAAGAAUAUUGAAUCGCGAGAUUGACGCAUUUUACGUUUUCGGAAAUGUAUGAAUAAAUCUCAUAUCGCGUGCGUACAUCACCGUGACGUAAUUCACAGUUUAAUCCCCGCAUCCUUAUCGUGUGUAUUUUCCGCAAUGCGUUCUUCUCUCUAUCUGUCUGUAAAGACGACGAACGGAAAUUAUAAUUCUUGAUAAGUAGAUGACUGAAAACAAGUGAGAUAAAUAUAACGAACUAUAAUCGCGCGAGAUCUCUUCGCGAGCAGCUGUUUCAUUUUGCUCCCAACGUUCACCAUCAAGGGACUGGAUGCUGCCGAACGCAUACAAGAGGGAUAUCCCAGUUCCAGAGCCAAGAGAGCAACCCCGACGAUGGUUUUCAGCGUCGCGACAAUACGCAGUCGUUCGUCGAGGCACGCUGGCGGGGCGCGUCGGAGGGGGUGGAGUGUGGCGGGGGCUGUGAAACAGCGAGUAUUUCAACGUUGUGUG
Long non-coding RNA from Athalia rosae (coleseed sawfly), 961 nucleotides. RefSeq lists it as uncharacterized. The transcript is spliced from 3 exons. NCBI's taxonomy places the organism in Eukaryota, Metazoa, Arthropoda, Insecta, Hymenoptera, Athaliidae. The record is from RefSeq and is a predicted model, not a curated record.